Long non-coding RNA from Prunus dulcis (almond), 722 nucleotides. RefSeq lists it as uncharacterized. Lineage: Eukaryota; Viridiplantae; Streptophyta; Magnoliopsida; Rosales; Rosaceae. The transcript is spliced from 4 exons. The record is from RefSeq and is a predicted model, not a curated record.
AUCUCCAUCAGGCGACGUCAAGUGAACAAUUACAAUAAGGCAAAUGAGCCCAAAGAGUUGGUGUUGGUUGAUCCACUUGAACUCAACAAGACCGAAUAUGAGGGAAAAAUGAAGGGUAAUAAUCCUGACCAGGAGCAAACCAUUUGGAGCUUUCCUGAACUGAAGAUGGAGAUCAUAACUUCUCACCAACCCAAUCCAAGCUUCAGUACGUUCUCUGUCUCCAAACGGAUGAUGAACAGGAAUAGCAGCUUCGAUCAUAAGGGGGUUUUCCUGCAAUCGACUACUCAGCUUACUCCUCAUCACAUUAGCAAUCUGCAGACAGCUAUGAGUUCCCCGCAGUCUAAGCGAGACAAGGACAUUCGGGCUGCAGUGCUGUAGAAAGUUGCUGCAUCCAUCAUGUCCACACCUCAAAAUUAUGCAGAAGGAUCAUGAGGAAGGACUGAACCUAUUUUUCUCCUACGUACCUUCUUUUGAGUUCCAUAACAAAGUACUUUUUAUCUACCCUUUUUCAACUGUUGUAAUAAUUCGGGACGCAACCUGACUUAGGUUAAUAAGAUCUGGUUGAUGCACAGACACACAGACCUUCCUUGCUCGACCAAUUGAUCCAUAUGUUGUAAUGUACAAUCGUUUCAUUAAUUCCUCUGUGACAUGAAUGAGAAUAGCGUGGAACUCUCAGAAGGAAGACAUAUAUGAUAUGUUUGUUGCAUGAAUAAUAUGUACUU